AUUGAACGCUGGCGGCAUGCUUUACACAUGCAAGUCGAACGGCAGCGCGGGCUUCGGCCUGGCGGCGAGUGGCGAACGGGUGAGUAAUGCAUCGGAACGUGCCCAGUAGUUGGGGAUAGCCCGGCGAAAGCCGGAUUAAUACCGCAUACGACCUGAGGUUGAAAGCGGGGGACCGAAAGGCCUCGCGCUAUUUGAGCGGCCGAUGUCGGAUUAGCUAGUUGGUGGGGUAAAGGCUUACCAAGGCGACGAUCCGUAGCUGGUCUGAGAGGACGACCAGCCACACUGGGACUGAGACACGGCCCAGACUCCUACGGGAGGCAGCAGUGGGGAAUUUUGGACAAUGGGGGCAACCCUGAUCCAGCCAUGCCGCGUGCGGGAAGAAGGCCUUCGGGUUGUAAACCGCUUUUGUUCGGGAAGAAAUCCUCUGGGCUAAUACCCCGGGGGGAUGACGGUACCGGAAGAAUAAGCACCGGCUAACUACGUGC
RNAcentral lists this ribosomal RNA (485 nucleotides) under uncultured bacterium. RNAcentral's name for it is "partial 16S ribosomal RNA". It matches the Rfam family "Bacterial small subunit ribosomal RNA", at positions 28 to 508 of the family's 1533-position model. The record is from RNAcentral.